This is a long non-coding RNA of Nerophis ophidion (straightnose pipefish), 779 nucleotides long. RefSeq lists it as uncharacterized. The transcript has 3 exons. Lineage: Eukaryota; Metazoa; Chordata; Actinopteri; Syngnathiformes; Syngnathidae. The record is from RefSeq and is a predicted model, not a curated record.
AUACAAUUAAAAUCAAGACAAAGAUUACUAAUUCAGUGUUGAUAUUUGAAUUGGCCCCGGACCCCUCUGUAGAGGAAAAGGGUAAGAACCCCUGUGGUACAACAUGGUCAAAAUGACAUUUUGUUUCAUAUUGCAUCCAGGCGCACCUUGAUGAGCAUGAACUUGUUCAUGGGCUGGUACCACUGCAGCAGCAUCACACUGGACUCCAGCGCACAGCACAGGAAGUCGUCAACUGCAAGGAGGAACACAGGCAGUAAAACAUAAUGACAUUCCCAUUUUUGGUUUUGUCUGUGAUGUUUGCUUUGUCCGUCAGGUUUUCGGGUCACGUGUUUCACUGUACCAGCUUGGGCGGUUGGGUUCCUGCUUCAAGAUAGUAAUGAUGGAAAACUGGGAAAACCGCAGUCCAUUGAACGCUUUAGCGGAAAAGGAGACGAGCAAACAAACAGUGGAGGCCAACGAAGGAAAGGCAUAAAUGGCAGCGGUGGGAUUUGAACCCACGCCUCCGAAGAGACUGGAGCCUUAAUCCAGCGCCUUAGACCGCUCGGCCACGCUACCCUGCAGAAGUUAACAGCCAUGUGGAAAUUGUCGAGCCCUUAACCCAGAACACGGUGAACACAACAGGGGAAAGGCAUAAAUGGCAGUGGUGGGAUUUGAACCCACGCCUCCGAAGAGACUGGAGCCUUAAUCCAGCGCCUUAGACCGCUCGGCCACACUACCCUGCAGAAGUCAUCAGCCAUAUGAAGAUUCUGGACCCCUUGACCCAUAACACGGUGAACACA